Molecule: transfer RNA, 73 nt
Filed under: Ailuropoda melanoleuca (giant panda)
Lineage: Eukaryota; Metazoa; Chordata; Mammalia; Carnivora; Ursidae
Rfam family: tRNA
About the family: Transfer RNA (tRNA) molecules are approximately 80 nucleotides in length.
Source: Rfam by way of RNAcentral
GCCCGGCUGGCUCAGUCGCUGGAGCAUGCGGCUCCUGAUCUUGGGGUCGUGAGUUCGAGCCCCACGUUGGGCG